RNAcentral lists this long non-coding RNA (5573 nucleotides) under Homo sapiens (human). RNAcentral describes it as "HSALNT0331052". Lineage: Eukaryota; Metazoa; Chordata; Mammalia; Primates; Hominidae. The record is from RNAcentral.
AGUCUGCUUUUGAUGAGGAGGUUCAGGAAGGCAUUAUUUGUCUCAAUCUAUCCCCUCUCCCCAACAGUGAACAAGAAAGCAGAUAUCCUUGCUGACUGUUGGCAGCCGUUGUGGGACCACAAAGGCACCAGCCUCAGGAGAUGGGAAGACUGAGUUGCCAGGGACGUUGCUGAGCCAUUAGAGCCAUCCUUACCCACAAGCCCACCCCACCUUGGGACUUCCUCUUGGGCAAGUCUGUGAAUCUCCAUGUUGUUGAAUCCGUUUUGAAUUGGCUUUUCUUUUUCUUGAAGCUCAAGGCAUUUUAAUUGGCAUAACCUAGCCUAUAAAAGGAAGAUUAAUUUCCUUGACCGCAAGAAAGUGGAAUUCGAAUUAGAGGGAAUGAGAUAUUGAGAUAUCUCCCUCCAUAGCCAGAGCUGCCUUGCAGUGAGUGUCCGGCUUUGGAAGCACCCCUACUAAGGCUGGGCCAUUGCAAGGGGAUUCCUUUUUUCUUUUCUUGUCUUUUUUUUUUUUUUUUCUUUAGACAGUUUUAUUCUGUUGCCCGGGCUGGAGUGCAGUGGGGCAAUUUCAGCUUACUACAACCCCUGCCUCCUGGGUUCAACCGAUUCUUCUGCCUCAGCCUCCAGAGUAGCUGGGACUGCAGGCAUGCGCCACCACGCCCGGGUAAUUUUUGUAUUUUUAGAAGACACAGAAUUUCGCCAUGUUGGCCAGGCUGGUCUCCAACUCCUGACCUCAAAUGAUCCACCUGCCUCGGCCUCCCAAAGUGCUGGAAUUACAGGCAUGAGCCACCGCACCUGGGCUGCAAGGGGAUUUCUAAGGAGAAGGGGAGACGUGGCCACUGGCAACCACACCACCAUCAAGGUGGGGCCUCAUGAUCCACCUACGAGCAGGAGCAGGGCUCUGAGGCAGGGCACUGAGGCUGAAUAACACCUCUGUGUUGCAGGACAAUUUAUCAAAGGAAAAUGAGGGCAUCCAUUCAGUUUUCCUUGUCCCACCUUCAAAAAAGACCAGGAUUGUUGAAAUUAUUCCUCUAAAAUCUACAUUUUAAGAAGGAAGGUCAAGCUGGUGCUAAUGUAAUGUGUGCUAUAGCUAACAUAUUAUAGCUAACAUACCUGCUUUAGGUCAAGCUGGUGGUAGAGUUACAUUCUAUUUUUUACUUAUGGUAUGCUUUAUAGGAAAAUGGGACCCUUUGUAUGAUUAAUAUUGGUGAGACAAUGUCCAUUUUGUCAGAGACAUAAGGUAAAUUCUUAUCACAGUACACUGUUAUCAAGGUUAGAGGUUGUGAUAUCUUUGCUUUCUUGAUUUAUUAAGAAUUGUAUUUAUGAUUUAAUUAUUGCCAAGUCGAUGGUCAGGAAUGCUUCCUAACUUUGCCAUGGCGAUAUGGUUCUAGGGGAGAGGGAAGCCGAUUCAUGUUAUUUGUUCUGCUAAUUUAUAAACACACUGUCUGUUCUAGUUUCCUCUCACAAACCCUUUUGGAUCUGACAUCCAUGAAUUUAUUUAAGCAUUUAAAAAUCAUGACAUGUUUCCACCAUGAGCCAUCUACUUGCUAUGAGAAGGCAUGCUUUCUUUUAUUUAUCCUAAACGUGUAUUUUCUGAGCUUCCAGCAAAUUCUGCACCAUCCCCUUAGACUAGUCUGGAGUAGGACAUGCACAGUUCUUGACCACCACUAGCUGUGGCCAUCCUUGGCUAAUGCCACCUUUGUUUUGUGUAAAUGGCUUAUUUACUCUUCUCUGUUGGAUAUCAAAGCAACUUAACAGUGUAAGUAGCUUUUGCUAAAUGAAGACAUGAGUAAGCAGAGACUGUGGAAUAUACUGGUGCUACUUCAGUGGGAUUUUACAUGGUGAAACAAAGGGAGAAGUUGGUUCAGAAGUUUAGCCCUUGCUGCCUUGCCCAGUAUGUGAUUUUGUGCAAGAAGAUGAGCAAAACAAAGACAUGUUGCAGGCCGUGUUUUCUGGACGGUUGUUGAGUCAAGAAGGAUUCAGGUGAGAUACUGGGGCUCCUUAUUUGAGCCAGCAGAAGCAGCUUUUUAGUUCCCAAAUCAAAUGGCUGGUACAUAAAUGUAAGGCUCUUAUGCUUAUUUUGUGACCUGAAAGAUGGGGAGCAGGGAAGGAAGAACUAGGCGUGGUCUCAGAUGUUUGGGAUAAUUGGCAUCAUUUUCCUCCAUUAUCCAUGCUUCAUCUAGAAUGAGUUAAUUGAGCCUGAAGCCUUCCAAAUCUCCUGUUAAUUACCCUGAAGCAGGCAUGUUUGUCCCUUUCUUGGUCUAAAGCUGCAGGCAGAUAUCCGAGGUCUUUUAUCCUUGCCUAGCACCAAAGAGUGACCACAAAAUCUGCCUCAGGUUUCCGAAGGAGCCAGGUUCCACACUUGGCCCACCAGCCCCACUGCUCUGUGUGCGCCCAGCUCUCCACUUAACCACCUGAUCCUGUUGUGUGACUUAGAAGAACGUGACUUUUACAACUUGAAAGCUUAUUCCUGGACAGGAGUACUUGGUAGUGGAGAAUCAGAGGAACUAAGGACUUCAGCAUCACACCCAGUUUAAGCCUUUGCGCUUCAGCCAAGAAGACAGCAACGCUUGUCACGCUUGUCUCUCUGGCUUUUGGAUAAUAUACAUAACUGGUCCUUAUGGAGGGCUGACUUUGGCCAUGUGUGUACUCUUUUUAAUGAUCCCAACUGCCUGACAAUGUCUAUACACUGCAUGAAGGACCUCAUGCUCUAGGGAGGCAGGAUCCUUGCCUGGAGUUACACUUGGGGUGGCAGAAGUGGGACUCAUACUCAACCCUGACAUACCAUAGCACUGCUUGUUGAUUUGCAGACAUAUAAUUGAAUGUGCUGUUAAAGAAUGGUGAAAGUAGGAAUGUGUUUGCUCUAAAUUUCCCUGUGAACUUCCUUGUCUGCACCAGCUGGCUUGGUUUGAUCCUUUCCCCAGACUCUGAUGCUUCUGUAAAGACAGAGCACAUGCACAUGCUCAUGUCCUCUGGCCCAGGUAAGGCUUAUCCACAGAGAAGGGAGCAUUGUGCCCCCAGUGCCCGGGAGGUGGUAUAUUCCACAAAGAGGUGAGUGGAGUGGGGGCCUUGUUGUCAUUGAAUCUCAUGUAGUGGAGGGCCUUGGGGAGGUGACACAGGAAAAUGUGCUACUCUGUAUUGUCUUGGGAAGGGUUGAAUUUGAUUCUGUUGUUUCUGAGGAUGUGAGAAUAAAUCUUGAUGGCUUUCCUCUUUCUGCCUCUAAGCAUCCUUGUGUGUAUUGCUGGUUUUACCUGAUCAUUUUCACCAUCUUCCCCAUGGUUUUAGUGGUCAUUUUUCAUUUCUUCUCUUGUAAAUAAUCAGUUCAUGUUUUCUAGCACCAAUUCUAAGCCUAGAUUAGUAAUAAGAAAAGUUCCCUCUUUUUAAAAGAAGAUGUCUACUUUCUCUGCCCUCCUUAUUGCCCAGAAAACAGGCAUUGUGGAGACGUGGCCUUGAUUGUCCUUCUUCUUGUCUCUUCCACCAAUGUGGCUGACCUUUUUCUCCUCACUCUCCAUUAAUUAGCAGCAGUUUCCCUGUUCCUUGGCUCACAGUGGUACACCUGGGAGCCUUAGCACUCACUGAAAACCCCUUACUGCCUAACAAGAAUUGACCCAUGGUUGAAAACCCAUCUCAAGUGCUGCUGCCUCUAUGAAGCCCACCCUGAAUUACGUUCAACUGGACAUACUUCCUUAUUUAAACCCUUUGGCACUGAUAUUCUAUCUUUAAUCAUUAUUAUUAUUUUAGAACAUGUCACCUUCCCAUGUUUUCCAAGUCAUAAAAGUAGUACAUGUCCAUCACAGACAAAUGGGGAGUGCAGAAAAGCACAAAGAAUAAAACAGAGACAGCAGGGUUCAGGCUUCGAGUUGUGGUGCAAUUGGCCCACAUCCACCCCACCCUCUCUUCACGCAGCAGAUGACUGGGACAUAAAGAAGCUGAUGGGGCCACUGCCACCGAAUUUCCACCUGCAGCCCUUCUCGGGGGCCACCACCAUGCUCCUCAACAGCUGUCACUGACAGGACAGAGCUUGAGGAUCUUGAGGAGCUACUGACCCUGCAGAACCGCUCUGAGACCAGGGGGAGCUUUUCCAGGUGAAACGAUUCAUGGCUAGGCUGAUUUAACUAAUGGGUUUUUCAUCAGAGUAAUACAUAUUCAGAUAUGUCCCAUGCUCAGUGAUGGCAUCAAGCAAUGUCAGGAUUAGAUGGGAAAUUAGAGGCAAUUUGCUCCAAGUGUCUACUUGUGUACCCUCCACAGACGUAUCCAUGCAAUGGUCUUCUGUCUUCUAGGAAGCUCCCAAGUUCAUUUUUUAUUCAAAGCGAACCAGGAGAGUUCUGUCUACACUCAUUUCUAUGCAUAGAACUUGACGCUUUAAAAAGACAAUGCUGAAUUCUAGUUUCCCUGCCCCUACACCAGCCCAAUCCUCUGUUCUUAUUCCCAUCUGACGGUGUCACCCAGGGCACUAACCCAGUAGUACCAGGCACCGAAUAGGCAUCCAGUAGGUGUUGAAUGUCGUAUGUAGCGGACAAGGGCCACUUUGGAAAGUCAUGUUUCAUCGCUUCACUCCUCCCUGUGAGUCUGGGUGCUCUGAAGCCCCUCUCUCGAUCCCCCCAUGAGACACACAGAAUUUAGACCCUGUCAUCAAUGUUAAAGGUCAGCUAACAUGGUUUCCAAACCAAGCAUGUGUCACCAUGUAUCACUUGGGCUUGAACCCAGGUUGGCUGAAUUAUCCAUGCAUCUAGGCAACCACCUAUACAUCCAUUCAUGCAGCUCAUGGAAAUGUUUGGAGUGCAAGCACAGUUCCAGGUGUUGUGGCAGAUACAAAGAAUAUGAUAGAGGGCCUGGUCCUGGUGGAUCCAGGAUGUUGUGGGGGAGACUGUUCUAAUGAGCCAUCUCUGUGUUGAGUUAUGUGAUAAGAGCUGUGAUAGAGAUUCUGCAAAGAAUCCGGGCCUGGGCAUUCAGGCCUGGGAUCUGCACAAGUGGGUCCUCGUGCUGCCCUUAUUUAAGGCUCAAAAGGUACCACUCUCCCAGACAUCAAUACCACUUCACUGUCAAAUUUCCCUUCCCACAAUCCUGUCCUGUGGUGGUGUGCUGGAGAGGGAGCAUUACCUCCAGUGUCCCUUAACCAUACCUAAGAAUAUAACUACACAGGCAGAUCACGAGGUCAGGAGAUCGAGACCAUCCUGGCUAACAUGGUGAAACCCCAUCUGUACUAAAAAUACAAAAAAUUAGCCGGGCGUGGUGGCGGGUGCCUGUAGUUCCAGCUACUCAGGAGGCUGAGGCAGGAGAAUCACUUGAACCCAGGAGGCGGAGGUUGCAGUGAGCUGAGAUCGCACCACUGCACUCCAGCUUGGUGACAAAGCAAGACUCCGUCUAAAAAAAAAAGAUAUAUAUAUAUAUACAUAUAUACGUAUAUAUGUAUAUAUAUGUGUGUAUAUAUAUGUAUAUAUACACACAUAUAUAUACAUAUAUACGUAUAUACAUAAAUAUAUAUAAAGAUAUUUAUAUAUAUAAAGAUAUAUAUAUACACACACACACACACCCAACUAAAGGUGUUUAUUUCUAAAUAGAUGAAGAAAUAUGUAA